GAUGAACGCUAGCGGCAGGCUUAACACAUGCAAGUCGAGGGGUAUAGUUCUUCGGAACUAGAGACCGGCGCACGGGUGCGUAACGCGUAUGCAAUCUACCUUUCACAAAGGGAUAGCCCAGAGAAAUUUGGAUUAAUACCUUAUAGUAAUACGACUUGGCAUCAAGAUGUAUUUAAAGAUUUAUCGGUGAAAGAUGAGCAUGCGUCCAUUAGCUUGUUGGUAAGGUAACGGCUUACCAAGGCAACGAUGGGUAGGGGUCCUGAGAGGGAGAUCCCCCACACUGGUACUGAGACACGGACCAGACUCCUACGGGAGGCAGCAGUGAGGAAUAUUGGACAAUGGGCGCAAGCCUGAUCCAGCCAUGCCGCGUGCAGGAUGACGGUCCUAUGGAUUGUAAACUGCUUUGUACAGGAAGAAACCCUUUCACGUGUGGAAGAUUGACGGUACUGUAAGAAUAAGGAUCGGCUAACUCCGUGCCAGCAGCCG
This 486-nucleotide ribosomal RNA is filed under the name uncultured bacterium. Its description in RNAcentral is "bacterial SSU rRNA". It matches the Rfam family "Bacterial small subunit ribosomal RNA", at positions 28 to 517 of the family's 1533-position model. The record is from RNAcentral.